Molecule: ribosomal RNA, 857 nt
Filed under: uncultured bacterium
Lineage: Bacteria
Description: bacterial SSU rRNA
Rfam family: Bacterial small subunit ribosomal RNA
Source: RNAcentral
UGCAGUCGAACGCGUCUCCGUUGAUGAUUUUAGGUGCUUGCACUUGAAAGAUUUAACAUUGAGACGAGUGGCGAACUGGUGAGUAACACGUGGGUAACCUGCCCUUGAAGUAGGGGAUAACACUUGGAAACAGGUGCUAAUACCGUAUAACAACCAAAACCACCUGGUUUUGGUUUAAAAGACGGCUUCGGCUGUCACUUUAGGAUGGACCCGCGGCGCAUUAGCUUGUUGGUAAGGUAACGGCUUACCAAGGCGAUGAUACGUAGCCGACCUGAGAGGGUAAUCGGCCACAUUGGGACUGAGACACGGCCCAAACUCCUACGGGAGGCAGCAGUAGGGAAUCUUCCACAAUGGACGAAAGUCUGAUGGAGCAACGCCGCGUGAGUGAUGAAGGGUUUCGGCUCGUAAAACUCUGUUGUUGGAGAAGAACAGGUGUCAGAGUAACUGUUGACAUCUUGACGGUAUCCAACCAGAAAGCCACGGCUAACUACGUGCCAGCGGCCGCGGUAAUACGUAGGUGGCAAGCGUUGUCCGGAUUUAUUGGGCGUAAAGCGAGCGCAGGCGGUUUUUUAGGUCUGAUGUGAAAGCCUUCGGCUUAACCGGAGAAGUGCAUCGGAAACCGGGAGACUUGAGUGCAGAAGAGGACAGUGGAACUCCAUGUGUAGCGGUGAAAUGCGUAGAUAUAUGGAAGAACACCAGUGGCGAAGGCGGCUGUCUGGUCUGUAACUGACGCUGAGGCUCGAAAGCAUGGGUAGCGAACAGGAUUAGAUACCCUGGUAGUCCAUGCCGUAAACGAUGAGUGCUAAGUGUUGGAGGGUUUCCGCCCUUCAGUGCUGCAGCUAACGCAUUAAGCACUC